RNAcentral lists this unclassified non-coding RNA (266 nucleotides) under Hevea brasiliensis (rubber tree). Lineage: Eukaryota; Viridiplantae; Streptophyta; Magnoliopsida; Malpighiales; Euphorbiaceae. The record is from RNAcentral.
AUUCAACCGGUAAUGAUGGCUUCCCACAGAACUAUAGAUUUUAUGUUCUGCUUUAUUUAUAAAUUUGAUUGUUUGUACUUCAAAAUGCUUUUUCAUUGUUAUGGUUUAGAUUGAUCAAAUAAGACACCUAUUUCAUUGCUGCUACUGUAUUUGGGUCAAAUGUUUUAAUUUUCUGAAGUGGAUUUCUUCUUCAGGAGCUGACAUUAGGAGUGUAUGUACUGAAGCUGGUAUGUUUGCAAUUAGAGCACGAAGGAAGACAGUAACAG